UGUCCUUUUGAUUUAUCUCCUUGUAUUUAGGGUGCCGUAUUAGGUUCACAGAGUGGAGUUUUGGAUAAGUUGUAGCGCUGUUGCAGAUCAUAAUACAGCUGUAAAAAAAAAUAGCAAUCUUGACGACUUUCUCGAGAGACGAAUCCUGAGGUUUUGACGUUUGCUCGAUAGAAAAAGAUUCAAAUUUUGUUACAAACUUUGCACAAUGUCUAAAAAUUAUGAAAAUUAAGCUAAUUUUACGGCUUAACUCACAUGUUUUUAGACUAAAAUUAGUAGAACAUUCAUUUUGUAUAUUCGUUAAAUUAUAUUCCGGACCUUAUCUGAAUCGAUGGUAAUGAUUGUUUUUAAAUGUACCAAACAAAAAUCUUAAUCCAUAACACAUUGAUGUUGUAUAUAUGUAUUCGUUAUGAAGGUAUUUUUUUAACAAAAGCGGAGUCCCCUCAAAUUUUUAUUUUCCACUACCUGACUAUAUUUAUUCCUGCGUUUAUCUCACUAGGGUUUGCACGACAGAUCUGAAAUGUAUGGGAAGAUCUGGGUAUCCGAAUCCAGAUCCGGAUAAUUUCAUACAUUUGGGAUCCGGUUUGCAAACCUUACAUCUCACCAUAAAACCUAUGUCUUUUAAUUACUAAAGAACACCUUUUUCAUAGGCAUCACAUACACGACCUCAAAGUUCGGGAGGCCUGUGAUCCUGUUCGACUCACCCGCUGGCCGCUAUAGGUUCAACCUGCACACACACAGCAUCGGCAAGCCAAGAGGGAACUGGUUCUGCACCCACAAGAAUGAAGGCUGCCGGGCGUCUAUCACCACAUUGGAUAGUGAAAUCGUCAAUAUCUCUAGUGAACACAAUCAUUGACGUUCUUGAUUAUGAUUCAACAUAUCAAUAUUUUUUAUUUUGGUAAUUUUACAAUUCGUAACCUACCUUUUGUUAUAUUAUACUAUACUUCACUGGCUCAGUGACCCAAACAGGAUCUUGGCCUCUGACACAAAAUAACGCCACUCUGCCCGUUAGAUAUUCUGAGGGCGGCAAGUUUUUGCAAUGUGCAAAAACUCUUUUGCGACUAAAUUAUCUGGUAUGGGUAUUAGGUACCUUAUUCUUUAUUUUUCUAUUUUUUAGUAUGAAAUACCAACUGGAUUAUUUAAAAAAAAUAUAUAUUGUAGACCUUUACAUAAGCAAUAAUGUUACGAAGAACUGUUGGUGUCGCUUUUCUAGAAAGCAAGGAAAAACUACUGAUGUUUUAAUUCCUAACUUUAUCCAAGAUUUUUUAAAUAAAUAUUAAAUAUUAUUUAAAGAAUAUAUGAGUAUUUAUAUAGAGAUUACCGUACCAAUAGUUUACGUAAAUCGUAUUAGCCAGUGUGGGAUUUUUUAUUUAUUUAUAAAAAGUUGUAAAAAAUCAUAUCUCAGAAAAUAACAGAGAUAGGAAGCUAAAACUUAUACAAGAAAUAAUACUUGUCAUAAGGGCUCUUAAUAAAAAAAAUACUGUAAACAUUUCGUGGAAGGGCCGCUUUUCCAUGAAAACACGGCUACGCUCUUUGCUAAUUUUAUAUUCAUAGUUACCAAUUAAAAUGUUAUCAAAAUAAAAACAUUUUAACGGAAGUGAUCUCUUUCACAAUCUAAAGAGUAAUCAAGUUUUCACACAUAAAUAUUGGGUAUAUAUUUACUUAAUUUAAAUAUUUAAUCGCCCUGUCUAUAUUCAAGUUUUGUCAGACUAAAAAUGCAUAUUUUAACAUCUUAUUAAAAGGUCGUUUCUCUCCGCAGACAUAAUAUGGACGACGUCAAAGUUCGGCCAGCCAGUGACACUGAUAGGCACAUACCGAUACAACUUGCACUAUAGGUCCAUAGACAAGGCUAGAGGCUCGUGGGCCUGCAGCAACAAAAACAGGGGCUGCAGGGCCUCCAUCACUACUGUAGAUAAUCAAAUUAUCAACGUGUCCUAUGAACAUAAUCAUUAAGUUUUUGAACCUUUAUAUUUAUUGUAAAUCUUUGUUGAAUUCAUUUUUUAAGUUACUUAAACAAAUGUUAUUAAAUGCUGUGUUGAUAAAAACAAAUCAGUUUUUCUGUGACACACGGCAAGCGAGAUGAAAGUUAAGCUAAACACUUAAGUUAAACGAAUGAAUAAAUGGAUAAUUGGACAUCUUUAACCUUUAUCUAUGUGUAAUUGUGUAUCUAAAUAGAUUCAUAAAUUAUUAAUGAUUUAUAUUUUUGACAUUUUAUUAUUUUCUACGAUUUUGCGAAGUGCAGGCUCAAGAGGUGUCUUUGAAAUUUGUGUCGUUAUUGACAAUUAUAUUUUAUUCUUAGAAAUCAUAUUUACCACGUCCAAGUUCGGGAGUCCUGCGAUCAUGGUUGGCAGCUAAAGAUUCAAUCUGCACUACUCUUGCAUUGGCAAAUCCAGGGGUAUAUGGGCCUGCACGCGGAGAACCAUGAAAUGCAGUGAUCUCUCAUUACGAUGGAUAAUGUUGUUAUUAAGAUCAAUCGUGACCAUAAUCAUUAAAGUAUUAUAAUUACCUAUCAACUUAUUGCAGUAUUAAAAAAUAAUACUUAAUGGUCCGUGUCAGUUAAUCCUUAUUGUCCUUUCUAAACAUGGAUUUGUUUUAUCCAUCAUCGUCUGUUAGCUCUCCACUUUUUAUAUGUCUAGUAGAAAGUAGUAGUAGAAAUACUUCUUGUUCAUCUAAGAAUACCUCUCAUUUAUAUCUUCUUAUUGUAGAUGAUGCUGUUGCUGUAGAUGAUGCUGCUGCUGGAGAUGAUGCUGCUGUUCUAGAUGUAGAUGUCAAACACACAACAUCGAGAUUCUUAUUUCUUCACAACAUCCAAGUACGGAAGACCUGUGAUAGUGCAGGGGAAGUACCGAUUCAACCUCCACAACGCCUGCUCCGGGAAAUCCAAGGGCAAGUGGUUCUGCACUGGUCGCACCCCACAUGGUUGCAAAGUGUCAAUUACAACCGUGGAUAAUGUCAUAGUGUAUGUCACUAAUGAACAUACACAUUAGUAUUAAUCCCUUUAUUCAUAAAAAUUGUCAAUCUGUCACAAACCUCUGUAAAAUUUUGUCUUUUUCUAAAAAUCAAUUUUAACAAAAUAUAGGGAUAAAAGAAAGAACUGCUUGUUAGAUGUAUUAUUUCUAUGAUUCCCAUAGCGCUCAUACUUGGAGAAACAAAUCGCCUGUACGCAGAGAACCAAGAAAUGCAGAGCGCCUCUCAUUACAAUGGAUAAUGUUUUUAUUAAGAUUAACCGUGAUCCUAAUCAUUAAAGUUAUAUAAUUACCUUCCUACUAAUUCUGAUAUUUAAAAAAAUACUUAAUGGUCUUGUCAGUCAAUUCUUAUUGUCCUUUCUUUUACAUGAAUUUAUUUUGCUCAUCAUCGUCUCUCUACUUUUUCUAUUUCAUUAUCAGUUCUCCACUUUUUCUAUUUCGGGUAGAAAGUAUGAUGCUGUUGCUAUAGAUGAUGCUGCUGCCGUAGAAGAUGCUGCUGCUGUCCUAGAUGUAGAUGUUAAACACACGACAUCGAGGUACGGUCAACCGGUGAUCAUCGCGGAUGGAUAUCGCUACAACCUUUGCCAGAAAUCUAUUGGGAAACGUAGUCAGACCUGGAAAUGCUCUAAAACGGGCUCCGGCUGCCGAAACACGAUGACUACUGUUGAUAACAAAGUAAUCAAGUUUAGAAAUGAACACAACCAUUUGUAGCAUGCUGAAUCUUCCUUAUCAUGUUACACAUAUAUGAACAUAGCAUUGUCCUAUUUUAAGUCGGUCUAAUAAAAUUCUUUGUUUGGGUCUCGAUUUUUUCUGUGUUGAAUGGACUGGGUGUCAUAACUACGAUGAUUAGAGAAAUUGGACAACGUAGGCAAACAAAUGUAUUUUUUGAUCAUUCUUAAAUAAAAAUGUUCUAAACGCCUCAAAAAUGAUAUUUGUUUAAUCAAGUUCACUUACACCAAUUCUGGUUUUGCAAAAUUAAAUAAAAACGGUACAACGGUUUCAGCCCUCAUGAAAUGGUUUCUGUGAGGGUUACAGCGUUUUUGCAAAUAGUAAUAAAAUAAUUAAUGUAAUUUCAGCAUUUAUCGCAAAAUAUAUAAUUUAUGAACGGCGAUUACGUCAUCUUUUUCUUCUUCCUAGCGUUGUCCCGGCAUUUUGCCACCUCUCAUGGGAGCCUGGGGUCCGCUUGACAACUUGAUUACGAUAGAUCGUUAAUGAUUUUAAAAAUUAAGAACAUUUACGCCCAGCGCGAGUUAGGUACAACUGUAGGUUACCGCCAUUUUAACAUGCGCCCGCGUCGGUCUCGCCGGAUACUAAGCACGAAUCAGUAUAUUGGCAACCGUCAAAGUGAGUGGCAAUGCGUAGUGUGAGUUUUUGAGUGCGGAGUGUGAAUAACUAUAUAGUCGUUAAACUGUUUUAGUUAAGAUUUAAUUACAUUACACGUUUAUGGUAUGUGUUAAUGUUCAAAAUUUAUAAUUUGUCUACCACUCUACCGUUCAUUUUAACAAAAUAAAAGCACCUAAUUAAUAAUAUUUCAUUUGACAAUAUAGGCAAUAAGGUAUGAUAAAUAUAAUGAAUAGAAACAUGUCGUCAAUUCAUAAUUCGUCAUCAACAAUGCAAGCUUUGUCAUGUGGACAAAAAGACAAAUCAGGCUUUUAUUUAUUUAUUUAGUCUUUAUUGCACAAAAGAAGAAAAUCUUACAGUGAAAAAGGCGGACUUAAUGCCACGAGGCUUUCUCUACCAGUCAACCUUAAGGCUAAGCAGAGAGAUUGUGAGCGGUGCUACAAUUACCACAGCAAAAGCAAAGCUUGGCUUUGUCAAUCUUAGCCACUGAAUUAAACUAGGUUAAGGUACCACCCCGGAGCGUAGCCGGCCCAAACGGCCCCAUGACACUGAAAAAUUUCCCCGUUGAGUUGCCAAGGAAAUCUGUUGGCCCAGAAACGGUCACUGAUGGUGGGACUCAGAUGGGACGUGGCAAAGGUGCGUCCCAUUAGUAACAACGACCCUACUGCCAAGGAACCAGGCUGUGACCAAAGCCUUGCGAAUCACCACUUUUAUCGCGUGGUAAUCCAAAAACCGCACAGCACACCUCUGACAACUACGGCCAUGCUGACCUCCUGAAGAUGUUGCAUCGUAAGGCAGACGCGAUCCUCAAGGAGUCCGUUUGAUAUUUUUUAGACUUUGUCAUUAUUAUAAAAGUAAGGAACAUUAAAAAAAAGUUAUGAAACCUGUUUUUCGCUCCAGACUCUUACAAUUAUUAAAUAAUAAGUUUGUAGGGAGAAUCGAUUGUUUCUUAAUCGUCUUGGCUUCUUCAAUGUUUUUCCUUCUCUAAAAUUUUCGUCUUAUACAAUAUUAAUUUGUUUUCCAGAACCGAUUUUUACAACAUCUCGCUACGGACGUCCGGUGAUCAUCCUAGGAAAGUACAGAUAUAACUUAAUGACUGGAUACUACGGAAAGACCAAGUGCAAGUGGUCUUGUACUGUGAAGAACAGGCGGUGCAAGGCGUCGCUCACGACCAUUGACAAUAGGAUUAUUGGCCUUAGUAUAGAACAUAAUCAUUAAUUGCUUUUCAACACAAUCGAUUUUCUAUGUAAUCUCCAGGUAUAUUAGUAUUAUUAAUCGCAAAUCUAGGUACUAGCUAGGGGUAUGGUUACGUAAUUACAAAAACUGUACUCUUUUUAUCUGGAUGAUUCAAAUUCACAAAUAACAGGUGGGUCAACAACAUUUUAUAAUGAGGUCACCUCUGUGGACAAUAUUAUAAAAGUAAACGACUCUUAUUUGAGUCUAAAGUGCCUACUGAAGAAUGUUAUCCCGCCUUUAAGGGUGUAGCAUCAAAUUUAGCUUUAGAUUUCCUUAACUUUGUUAUGUUUACAGGGAAGACGCGAACGACUUAAUCAUUAAUCUUAAUCAACUAUAAAAGGUUUAAGUCAAUAGUUAUUUGGUUUACAAGGUGGCAAAGUUGUUGUUUAACCCCCAAUAUUAAUUAUACCCGCGUAAGCGAAAGAUUCCAAAAUGAAACCACGAGCGUGACGAGUGGUUCGAAACUGGAAUCUUGAGUGUAGUGAGGGAUUCAAGGCACAAUGAUCAAACAAACUUUGCCGCCGAGUGAAACACAAUUUUUUUCACUACACCAACGCAAGAAAAAUACUAACUAAAAUAUCAAAAAAAUCAAAGCAAAUCGAUUAAUGAUAUUUAAUAUUUUUCAUUCAAAAUCGUCAUUUAAAAGUCAAUUUUACCAGACAACAUAAGGAAAUAACUCAAAAUUUGCAUUUAAUUACUUCGCUGUACCUAUGUAGGAUGCAAGUAUGUGGAUAAAAUGCAACUUUCUUAUCAGUUUUUGAAGUACCAAGAGAGCCUUUACCAGCUGGUGUGGUGAAAAAUAUAAAUUGCGACUAUUCUCUCAGUUCUAGGAUUAAUGUUCCUAUUUAGCAUAUAACAGGCGAAUUUAUUAAUAUAACUUGUAUACAUUAUAUAUUUGCGAUUUAUUUAUUUAAUGAACAAUUUUUUUAUUAUAUAAUACCUUUCUGAAGCUACUCGCUUCCGGAAGGCUGCCUAGGAUGCUGGCGGCAAUGCCCCUUGGCACCGCCAGACUUAUAUAUUUUGGAAUACAUUCAGUUUAGAAAAUAACAGAAUUAAAUUAUAUUUAAGUGAUGAGUUUGUUUUAUUUCUGAGAUCUGUAAUACAAAUAAAAUAAAUUAGCUUAUGAAUGAUGGACUAAUAAUUAAGUAGUAUACCAUAUAAGGGAAUUCAUACCUAGGGAUAUCUAACGAUGAAAGUAUGAUUCCCUAAAGCCACAAUGCCCUCUAGAUAAUUCUACAGCAAGUUUUGUUUCCACGCUGAAGAAUGAUAGCGUAAAUAUAAUUCGUAGGUAUUUGUAAAAUACGUUAUACCUAAAUAUUUUCAAAGUGUCCCUAUCCAUCAUUACAGAAACCUAUCGUAUUAUUCCCACAGUUACCUUCAGCACUUCAAGCAAAGGCAACCCAGUCCUCCAGCUAGGCCGGUUCCGCUUCUGCGUGGAAACCAAGAACGACUACAAGAUAACUUGGGUGUGCGGCAAGAGGUCCAGCGCGGGGUGUCGCGCCCGACUGACCACUUUUCAGGGGGAGAUCAUUAAGAGCAUGAACAUGCAUAAUCACGACUAAUCAUAUUGGGCUACCCGAUCCUCCUCGGCGAUUACCGCUUCAACCGCAACAACGACAAGCGUCAAGUCAACGAUACCAUCGGCAAGAUGGCGUGGGUCUGUGUGUAUAAAAACAACGGUGCCGCGCCAGAAUCAUUACUAUUGAAAAUCAGAUUUUUAAAGCUAAUCUUUACCUUAAUCACUGAUUGAUCUUAAGAAUUAGGAUAUUAGGAUCUCGAUAACUUGAGUGUCGCAGUACAGAUAUGCCAUCCAUAAAUGGUCGUCAAUUUAUGCCUUACCUUAUCCAUCUAGUGCGAAAUCGUCGAUGGCACUAUCUAGUUUUAGAUUUAGAAGAACAUCAAGAUUCAAUGCAACAUUCAGUCUAGCUCUGAUAAAUAGAAAUUUGUUCUGAAUAAAUUCAGUCAAACCAAGCCACUAUUUUGACUGUAAUCGAAACAUCGUAUGAAUUAUAUUAGUUGUGAAAAUUAAUUUAGUCAAUGAGAUGAGUUUAUUAUUACAUCGCGUAAUCUCAUCAUCUUGCAAUUAAACAUGGUGAGUUUUUCCUUUGUUGUGCUUUUUUAUUUAUCCUCUUUCAACUUCUUAUGUUUGUUUCUUUUUACAAGUACCUAGUUGAUAAUUAUUACUCUAAGUUAGUCCCAUAGGUACAUCGGUAUUUUCUUUUGUUACAGUGGUACUGCUAAAGUUCGCCAAGUCAAGAUUAUGCACAACUGUUCUAAAGUGUGGUGACAUUACUUUCGACAAGAACAAAAAGUUAAAAAAAGAUCACCUGGAACUGUAAGUUGUAAAGCCUAAAUCGUAACCGAAGAUGAAAACGUCCGACGGAUUAAUUUAGAUCAUAAUCAUUACAUUUUUUAUUCUUUGAAUUACGAUUAACAUGAAAAACGACCGCUUCUAACGUGA
Long non-coding RNA from Cydia pomonella (codling moth), 8001 nucleotides. RefSeq lists it as uncharacterized. NCBI's taxonomy places the organism in Eukaryota, Metazoa, Arthropoda, Insecta, Lepidoptera, Tortricidae. The transcript is spliced from 3 exons. The record is from RefSeq and is a predicted model, not a curated record.